Long non-coding RNA from Eriocheir sinensis (Chinese mitten crab), 4951 nucleotides. RefSeq lists it as uncharacterized. The transcript has 3 exons. NCBI's taxonomy places the organism in Eukaryota, Metazoa, Arthropoda, Malacostraca, Decapoda, Varunidae. The record is from RefSeq and is a predicted model, not a curated record.
AUCAUCUUUUCGCCGAUAAUGAUGCAAAUUACCCUGCUGUACAUACUAUAAUAAAUAUACUAUUGAUUACAUUUUAUAUUAUAUAGGUGAGAUGAUGGUGGCGGUGGUGGUGCAUAGUUUGUCACUCUUGGUGUGGUAUGGUGGUGUUCAUGAUGUUCAUGGUGGUGGUGAUGGUGAUGCACAGCCCAUAGUUCCUAGUGUAGUGAUAGUGGUGGUAAUGGUGAUGUUGUUCAUGGUGGUGGUGGUGGUGGUGAUGCACAGCUCGUAGCUUCUGGCGUGGUGAGUCAGUGGUAUUCGUGGCGUGGUGGUGUUGAUGGCGGUAAUGGUGUUGAUAGUGGUGGUGGUGGUGUAGGUGAUGAUGAUGGUGAUGUAGUCUGUACUUCCUGAUGUGGUGAUAGUUGAUGGCUUGAGGGCGUGGUGUUGUUGUUGGUGGUAAUAGUGUUGACGAUGGUAAGGGUGUUGAUGACGGUGGUAGUGGUGGUGUUGAUGGUGAUUAUGAUAUUGGUGUUGAUGUUAGUGGUGGUGGUGGUGUUGGUGAUGGUGGUAAUGCUGUGUUAUGGUGGUGGUGGUGGUGGCGAUGAACGAUUAAUUUAACGUUAUAUCCUUUGCGUGCCCUAUAUGCCUGGAGGUGUUAUUUGUAUUUUAUCAUAGCUUUAUUAUUAUUAUUAUUAUUAUUAUUAUUAUUAUUAUAAUCAUUGUUAUUAUUGGUAUUGAAAUUUCCUCUACAAUUACAAAUGUGAGCUUUGACUGUGAUUUUAAUGCUCAAAUUUUUUGUAAUAUCAAUACUACUGUGCUGCUUUUGCUCAUGUUUCUGAUACAAAAAUAUUACUGCCUUCGCUGUUAUUAUUCUUAUUCUUAUUCUUAUUCUUAUUAUUAUUAUUAUUACUCCCAGUAUUGCUUUUAAUCUUAUCAUCAUCGUCAUUAUUAUUACCGCUGUCGUUUUUUUUAUAUAUUGUUUUCUCGUCAGUGUAAAAUAUUAUAAUAUUAGAAAUAGUUGUAUUAGCAGUGGUAGCAGUAAUAGUUGGGGUGUUAGCUGCAAUACCAGUGCAAGACGAAUUGCCUCAAAUAUAAGAAUUUUUAAAUCCUUAUAUAUAUCUACUCUUCCAUUUAUAUGUAUUUUAUUCAUAAUUUAUUUUGUAUUUUUAUAUAUUCACAGCUCAAGUUUCGCAGUUAUAUAUCGAGAAGCAACUUAUCAAAUCGUACUAUUGCAUUUUUUCUCAUCAUUUCUUUCCAACAUUUUUACAGCACCGAAUCACCAGAAAUUAUAAGAAUUGUCUGAUCAAUAUGACACAUCGCGACACUGAUUGAUUGAUUGUGUGUGUGUGUGUGUGUGUGUGUGUGUGUGUGUGUGUGUGUGUGUGUGUGUGUGUGUGUGUGUAAUAAUUUUCGCCAUUGAUUGACAGUCCUUCACUAUACAUUGUUGUGGCAAGGAAGAGUACCACCGAAGAACCUGGGUGCAGGUGGCCUACUUAGUAGCAGCCGUUGCUGUAUAUUUGAUUUUUUUUUUUUUUUUUUUAGGUUUACUACGAAAUGUGAAAAAUAUAAAUCAUUUUAUCACAGGUAUUUGUGAUUGCAUUAUUAUUAUUAUUAUUAUUAUCAUCACUGAUUGUGGCAGUGGUAACAGUAAUAGUAGUAGUUGUGGUAGUAGUAGUAGUAGUAGUAGUAGUAAUAGUUGUUGUUAUACCACUACCACAACCAGCUGAAGUGGUGAUUGAAUAUAAUUCAAUAGAAUUAUUUAUAUUAUUAUUUUUUAUUAUUUAUAUUAUUGUUUUGAUUAUUUAUAUUAUAAUUGAUAUUAGUUUGUAUUAUUUUGUUAUUAUCAUUAUUAUUAUUAUUAUUAUUAUCAUUAUUAUUAUUAUAAGUAUCAGUUAUUUUUCUUAAUACUAUCAGAACUAUUGCUAUCAAUAUCAUCACUAUUAUUCCCUCCUCUGCUACUGCUUCUACUGCUACUAUUAUAUUACUAUUAUUUCUGCUACAUCUAUUUUAUUAUCUUCAAUAUUUUAUUAUUAUUAUUAUUCCAGUCAUGAUAUCACUUCAGACUGAACACAUCGUUGCAGGUCACAAAUUUGCAUGAAGAUUGCUUUGGGCUAGUAUAGAAUUUGAUUUCUGACACAUUACAGCAUUCUUGUAUUUUUUUCCGCAUAUAAUAGGAAAAGGUCAUGGCUUUCCUUAUGUUAGGAGCCAAAUGAUAAUUUUCAAGGUUUUAUUUCUUUAGUUAUUUUGUGCUUGUAACUUUUUUUCGUGUGUGUGUGUGUGUGUGUGUGUGUGUGUGUGAUACAGCUUCAAAUCUAAGAAUACAUGAAUGCCAGAGUAAUCGACCGUAAUGUCACUGAGGAAUUUGCGGUAAUUUUUUAAGACUUGUAAGAAAUCCAUGAAAAGAAAUGUACUGUUAGGAAACAAUGUAGAACAACAACUGGAACUCCUGUUACUGCUGCUACAUCUUUUACCUUCUACUACUACUACUACUACUAUUACUACUACUACUACUACUACUACAAUUACUCCUACUGUAAGAUAUGAAGAGGAUGCUAUAGAUGUGUGUGUGUAUGUAUGUGUGUGUGUGUGUGCAAGCAAGGUGUACGAGAGAGGUAUAGGCGUCAUAACGGUGUAGCGUCUAGCCGGUUCGCCUGGGAGAGAGGGAGAGGGAGGGAGAGGAGAGAAGGAAGGAGCGAGGUGAGAGAGACGAGGGUCGGGUGGGGGAAGAGUGGCUAGACUGGUAUAGGUGAAGUAAGGUUGUGUGUGCAUGUGUGUGUGUGUGUGUGUGUGUGUGUGUGUGUGUGUGUGUUAUUCUGGCCUACCAUACGUUCCCCUUCCAUCUUUUCUUCAUUAUUUAAUCUCAAAGACGUAAUUUGUAGUAUCUCUUAUGUAAUGUGGUUCCCCACUUUUCAAACUUGCUUGCAUCUCCGUGUUUCUUUUCUUUCCUUCUGUUCUUAUACGUUUCUUCCCUCCUAUUCUACGUUGGUUAGUCAUGUCUUCUUCUUGACCUAUUUGUUCGUGUGUAUGUGCGUGUGUUGCAGACGGUCAAGUUGAACCGUGUGUGUGUGUGUGUGUGCAGGGAGCUUGAGGGAGGGAGAGAGGGAGAGGGUGUGUGGGGGUGUGAGGGUGCCUGCGGUAUGAUGAUUCACGUGUGUGUGUAUGUAUGUGUGUGUGUGUGUGUGACUGCAACCAGCCAGGCGAGCGGGUGGUGGUGGUGGCGGCGGCGGUGGCGGAGUUGGUCAUUGUCUGUGUACGUGCAUGUGUGCGCGUGGAAGUUUUCAUGAGCAGAAGAGUCUUUGUAUGUAUAUACCUCUAAGAAGAAGUACACACACGAGUCCUGAAGCUUACGUGUCUAUGCUUGCCCCUCUCUCUCUCUCUCUUUCUCUCUCGUGGUCUCCCGGUAAUGCAACUGGCGAGAGUGAGUGCGGGGAGGAGGUGGAGGAGGAGGAGGUGGUGGAGGUCAGGGAGGAGGGGAGAGGAGCGAGACAGGUCGGGAGAGGGAGGCCGGGAGGGAGAGGGGACGAGGAGGGGGUAGAGCAAGAGCAAGAGGAAGGGGGAAGGAGAGGGAGAGAGGAGUGAUGCGGUGUUGCCGGUUGUGGUGGGGACGGCCUGGCCCCGCCCCUUACUAAGUACGCCUGUGCACUUCUCUUCUCUCUCCCCUUAAUUAGUGAGCGAUGGGGGUAGUAGGGGCGUGUAUGGGCUUCGGGGAUGCACGGGGCAGGGCCUGGGGUGGGUGUGGGGGCGGCGGGGCUGGUGGUGGCGGCGGUGUGUGGCGGGGCCGGGGUGCAGCUGUGCUUGCGGGGGACUCGACGUGGUAGUUGCAAGCGCUGGGUGAAGCAGACCCGUUGCCUCCCGCCUGCUUGUCCUCCCCUUCCCGCCUGCUUCCGUGCUUCCCGCCCCGUCUGCAGAGCGUUGUCCCGCCGCCUGAGGAGUUCCAGGGGCGUGGGUGUGACUCCGUGCCCCUACACCCGUAAAUUCACCCACAGGUCACUCCGCCCACCCCCACACCCGCGUGAUCCCUCUGUACCCCACCCACGCCAUCCCCCACCCACGCCCGCACGCUUCCCACGCCCACGCCACCGCCUGCACCACCUCCACUGUCACCACCACGCCAGUCUGCACCUCCACCACCACCACCGUCACCACCGCCGCCCAGGACGUGUUAACACCCACUGCCGGAGAUGUAAGGUGGUGGUGGUGGUGGUGGCUCCUCGGCCUGGCUAGACGGGGAGAGAGAGAGAGAGAGAGAGAGAGUUCACCCCGAUAUUGACAUCUCAAGCGAGAGUGAACGGUGUGUCUGUCCCUUGCUUGCUUGCUUGCCUGUCUGUCCGUCUGUCUGUCUGUCUGUAUGUCUGUCUCCCUACCCUGCCCCGCCCCGCCCCGGUAGUGCCCCUGAACCUUUUUCGUCGCCACACCGGGAUAGAAAAAAAAUAAGAAAAUAAAGCAAGAAGACAUGAGAAAAAAGGAUUAUACUUUGAAUACUGGAAAAAAAGUUCGUUACUGAAGAGUGGAUUCUCCAUAAUAAUUAUCGUAAAAAAAUAUCACUAAUAAUAACAGCAACAAUGAUUAUUAUGAUGUUAUGAUGUGAUUAUUAUACGAAAAGAAAAAAGUAAGAGAGAAGAAAAGAAAAGAAAGGAAGCCCAAGCUAGCAAGAGAAAGAAGAGAGAAGGGAAGGAGAGAUGUGAUGGUGGUGGUGAUAGUGAUGGUGAUGAUGGUGGGGAGGUAAUAAACUAAAUUACUCAUGCUGCUCCACCUCCACCACCACCACCUCCUCCACCUCCACAUUAAACCCCCACACAGAACCCGGCGCCAGCAUCACCGCCCCUUCCUAACAUCAAACAGGUAAGAUGCAUGGUGGGCAGGUGUUACGAGUAGGAAAGGUAAGGUUCUGGUACUGAUCUUGUUAUUGUUAUUCUUGUAUUUUUUUUAUUGUAUGGGGAUCGUUACUCUCGGUCGGCAUUUUAUUAUACGAUUA